Small nuclear RNA from Oryctolagus cuniculus (rabbit), 106 nucleotides. NCBI's taxonomy places the organism in Eukaryota, Metazoa, Chordata, Mammalia, Lagomorpha, Leporidae. The record is from Ensembl.
GCUCUGGCUUCGGCAGCACAGAUACUAAAAUUGGAAACGAUACAGAGAAGAUGAGCAUGGCCCCUGCAGGGGUGACAUGCAAAUUCGUGAAAUAUUCAAAAAAAUU